Non-coding RNA from Pelobates cultripes (western spadefoot toad), 277 nucleotides. The record is from the annotation of a GenBank genome assembly. NCBI's taxonomy places the organism in Eukaryota, Metazoa, Chordata, Amphibia, Anura, Pelobatidae.
ACACAGCCAAUUCCGUCAUCAUCAGCACGGUAGGCGUGCUAAUGUCACAGUAUGAUUGGUGAUGCCAGCCCAGGACUUUAAGUGAAGGCUCACUGAAUCAGAAGGCGUGGAGGCAUGGCUAGUAGCCACACUUUUAAACACACUAACAUAAUGAAAAACUAAAUGUAAAGGAAAUUAAAAUUGUUUUUGGCCCUAUAGAUCAGGCUUCCCCAAACUCCGGCCCUCCAGAUGUUGCUGAACUACAACUCCCUUGAUUCUAUGAAUUCAUUAGAUAGGC